GUGUCAGCCGCCGCGGUAACCCCGGCGCCACGAGUGGCAUUCUUGUAUUUGGCCUAAAGCAUUCGUAGCCGGUUUGAAAAAUCCUUUGUGAAAUUGUUGAACUCAAUACAACAGCAUGCAGGGGACACUUUCAAGCUAGAGACUGGGAGGAGUUAGGGGUAUUCCUAGGGGAGCGGUUAAAUGUGAUAAUCCUAGGAGGACCACCUGUGGCGAAGGCGCCUAACUAGAACAGUUCUGACGGUGAGGGAUGAAAGCUAGGGGAGCGAUCCGGAUUAGAUACCCCAGUAGUCC
This 291-nucleotide ribosomal RNA is filed under the name uncultured bacterium. RNAcentral describes it as "partial 16S ribosomal RNA". It matches the Rfam family "Archaeal small subunit ribosomal RNA", at positions 455 to 747 of the family's 1478-position model. The record is from RNAcentral.